Molecule: long non-coding RNA, 726 nt
Organism: Varanus komodoensis (Komodo dragon)
Lineage: Eukaryota; Metazoa; Chordata; Lepidosauria; Squamata; Varanidae
Source: Ensembl
CAGCUGGUCCGGUCUGGAUCACCCAGGGUUGGAAAGAAAAUCAGCCGAAAACAUAGACACACUCCCAAUUAGCUAACUCAAGUUGAUCUUUUCAGGAAGCUACCAUAUGUGGAAAUGUCCGGAGCAGUUAAAGUGAGCGCUGUUGUUGCUGCAACCGCUACAGGUGCUGUGAAAGUUGUAAGCAUAUCUGUACCAGCAGCAGCAAUUCCGUGGGUGUGCGCCACUGUCAUUGUGCUUGGGGCCUCCUGUAUCAUUUUCCAAGGACUCAAGCGUCUAAACCAGUCAUGUUCCUGAGUGACCCAGAAUGCAAGGAACAGCUAUAUAGAAGAAUUGUGCAUGAUAUAAGAAGGAUUAAAUCAUAUCAAUGAAAUAAUGCAAAUACACACAUAGAAAUAGUUUCUUCUGCUUAUCUUUAAAAAAACCCUCAUUUUCUCUGCUAUAAAAAACUCCUAACAGUUCUGUUUAAAAAUGGAGCAAAAUGGGAGAGUGACCAAGUCAAUUAAAAAAGCAGAAAAGAAUUAUGAUGUCAUACCAAGAAAAGCUUAAGAAAAGCUUAAGCUUAAGCUUUCUUUGUAGGAAAAAGGCAGAAUAUAAAUCGAAAAGAUAAAUAAAUGAUUUAUCUUCACGUCAUUUCUUCAGCCUUGCACAGAGGGGAACCAUGUUGCACAAUGCACAGGAGGAAUGCCAAAACCCAACAGCCAUUUUUCCAUCUGAGCAGCUGAAUUU